GGGGGAAACCCUGAUGCAGCGACGCCGCGUGAAGGAAGAAGUAUCUCGGUAUGUAAACUUCUAUCAGCAGGGAAGAUAGUGACGGUACCUGACUAAGAAGCCCCGGCUAACUACGUGCCAGCAGCCGCGGUAAUACGUAGGGGGCAAGCGUUAUCCGGAUUUACUGGGUGUAAAGGGAGCGUAGACGGUGUGGCAAGUCUGAUGUGAAAGGCAUGGGCUCAACCUGUGGACUGCAUUGGAAACUGUCAUACUUGAGUGCCGGAGGGGUAAGCGGAAUUCCUAGUGUAGCGGUGAAAUGCGUAGAUAUUAGGAGGAACACCAGUGGCGAAGGCGGCUUACUGGACGGUAACUGACGUUGAGGCUCGAAAGCGUGGGGAGCAAACAGGAUUAGAUACCCUGGUAGUCC
Molecule: ribosomal RNA, 406 nt
Filed under: uncultured bacterium
Lineage: Bacteria
Description: bacterial SSU rRNA
Rfam family: Bacterial small subunit ribosomal RNA
Source: RNAcentral